UACGAAGGGGGCGAGCGUUAUUCGGAAUCACUGGGCGUAAAGCGUGCGUAGGCUGUUCUGUAAGUUGGAAGUGAAAGCCCGGGGCUCAACCCCGGAAUUGCUUUCAAAACUACAGGACUCGAGUCCGGGAGAGGAUAGCGGAAUUUCCAGUGUAGUAGUGAAAUACGUAGAUAUUGGAAGGAACACCAAUGGCGCAAGCGGCUAUCUGGACCGGUACUGACGCUGAGGCACGAAAGCGUGGGGAUCAAACAGG
RNAcentral lists this ribosomal RNA (253 nucleotides) under uncultured bacterium. Its description in RNAcentral is "partial 16S ribosomal RNA". It matches the Rfam family "Bacterial small subunit ribosomal RNA", at positions 524 to 776 of the family's 1533-position model. The record is from RNAcentral.